RNAcentral lists this ribosomal RNA (526 nucleotides) under uncultured bacterium. Its description in RNAcentral is "bacterial SSU rRNA". It matches the Rfam family "Bacterial small subunit ribosomal RNA", at positions 777 to 1299 of the family's 1533-position model. The record is from RNAcentral.
AAUAGAUACCCCAGGUAGUCCACGCCGUAAACGAUGAGUGCUAAGUGUUAGAGGGUUUCCGCCCUUUAGUGCUGCAGCUAACGCAUUAAGCACUCCGCCUGGGGAGUACGGCCGCAAGGCUGAAACUCAAAGGAAUUGACGGGGGGCCCGCACAAGCGGUGGAGCAUGUGGUUUAAUUCGAAGCAACGCGAAGAACCUUACCAGGUCUUGACAUCCUCUGACACUCCUAGAGAUAGGACUUUCCCCUUCGGGGGACAGAGUGACAGGUGGUGCAUGGUUGUCGUCAGCUCGUGUCGUGAGAUGUUGGGUUAAGUCCCGCAACGAGCGCAACCCUUGAUCUUAGUUGCCAGCAUUCAGUUGGGCACUCUAAGGUGACUGCCGGUGACAAACCGGAGGAAGGUGGGGAUGACGUCAAAUCAUCAUGCCCCUUAUGACCUGGGCUACACACGUGCUACAAUGGAUGGUACAAAGGGCAGCGAAGCCGCGAGGUGGAGCCAAUCCCAUAAAACCAUUCUCAGUUCGGAUU